Molecule: ribosomal RNA, 664 nt
Filed under: Bacillus sp. FJAT-17174
Lineage: Bacteria; Bacillati; Bacillota; Bacilli; Caryophanales; Bacillaceae
Description: bacterial SSU rRNA
Rfam family: Bacterial small subunit ribosomal RNA
Source: RNAcentral
GAUGUUAGCGGCGGACGGGUGAGUAACACGUGGGUAACCUGCCUGUAAGACUGGGAUAACUCCGGGAAACCGGGGCUAAUACCGGAUGGUUGUUUGAACCGCAUGGUUCAAACAUAAAAGGUGGCUUCGGCUACCACUUACAGAUGGACCCGCGGCGCAUUAGCUAGUUGGUGAGGUAACGGCUCACCAAGGCAACGAUGCGUAGCCGACCUGAGAGGGUGAUCGGCCACACUGGGACUGAGACACGGCCCAGACUCCUACGGGAGGCAGCAGUAGGGAAUCUUCCGCAAUGGACGAAAGUCUGACGGAGCAACGCCGCGUGAGUGAUGAAGGUUUUCGGAUCGUAAAGCUCUGUUGUUAGGGAAGAACAAGUACCGUUCGAAUAGGGCGGUACCUUGACGGUACCUAACCAGAAAGCCACGGCUAACUACGUGCCAGCAGCCGCGGUAAUACGUAGGUGGCAAGCGUUGUCCGGAAUUAUUGGGCGUAAAGGGCUCGCAGGCGGUUUCUUAAGUCUGAUGUGAAAGCCCCCGGCUCAACCGGGGAGGGUCAUUGGAAACUGGGGAACUUGAGUGCAGAAGAGGAGAGUGGAAUUCCACGUGUAGCGGUGAAAUGCGUAGAGAUGUGGAGGAACACCAGUGGCGAAGGCGACUCUCUGGUCUGU